AGAGUUUGAUCCUGGCUCAGGACGAACGCUAGCGGCGGGCUUAAUACAUGCAAGUCGAACGCGAACGGUAAUCUUCGGAAUACCAAGUAGAGUGGCGAACGGGUGAGUAACGCGUAGGCAAUCUGCCCUUUGGUGGGGGACAACAUCUCGAAAGAGGUGCUAAUACCGCAUGAUAUCUUUUUAUCACAUGUUGAAAAGAUCAAAGAUUUAUCGCCAGAGGAUGAGCCUGCGUCCCAUUAGCUUGUUGGUAAGGUAACGGCUUACCAAGGCUACGAUGGGUAGCUGGUCUGAGAGGAUGAUCGGCCACACUGGGACUGAGAUACGGCCCAGACUCCUACGGGAGGCAGCAGUAAGGAAUAUUGCACAAUGGACGAAAGUCUGAUGCAGCCACGCCGCGUGUGGGAUAAGCUCUUGCGAGUGUAAACCACCGUUAGGAAAGACGAGUGCCAGUGUUUUGCACUGGUUCGACGGUAUUUCCAGCGAAAGCUCCGGCUAACUCCGUGCCAGCAGCCGCGGUAAUACGGGUGGAGCAAGCGUUGUCCGGAAUCACUGGGCGUAAAGAGCGUGUAGGCGGGAUCGUUAGUUUGAGGUGAAAUGUCGGGGCUUAACCCCGAACCUGCCUUGAAUACUGCGGUUCUUGAGUUUGGGAGAGGAAAGCGGAAUUCCAGGUGUAGCGGUGGAAUGCGUAGAUAUCUGGAAGAGCACCGGUGGCGAAGGCGGCUUUCUGGCCCACAACUGACGCUGAGACGCGAAAGCGUGGGGAGCGAACAGGAUUAGAUACCCUGGUAGUCCACGCCCUAAACGAUGAACACUAGAUGCUGGGAGAUUCGACCCUUUCAGUGUCGUAGCUAACGCGUUAAGUGUUCCGCCUGGGGAGUACGAUCGCAAGGUUGAAACUCAAAGGAAUUGACGGGGGCCCGCACAAGCGGUGGAGCAUGUGGUUUAAUUCGAUGCAACGCGAAGAACCUUACCUGGGCUUGAACUGUGCCGGAAACCUUCUGAAAGGAAGGCCUCCUUCGGGACUGGUACAGAGGUGCUGCAUGGCUGUCGUCAGCUCGUGUCGUGAGAUGUUGGGUUAAGUCCCGCAACGAGCGCAACCCUUAUCACUAGUUGCCAUCAGGUUAUGCUGGGCACUCUAGCGAGACUGCCGGCGUUAAGCCGGAGGAAGGUGGGGAUGACGUCAAGUCCUCAUGGCCCUUACGUCCAGGGCUACACACGUGCUACAAUGGGUGGUACAGAGGGUCGCAAUACCGCGAGGUGGAGCUAAUCCCAC
This 1273-nucleotide ribosomal RNA is filed under the name metagenome. RNAcentral's name for it is "bacterial SSU rRNA". It matches the Rfam family "Bacterial small subunit ribosomal RNA", at positions 8 to 1277 of the family's 1533-position model. The record is from RNAcentral.